AGGGCGGGUAAGGACCGAGCAGGCCUGCGGAAGCCUCUGAGCCAGCGCGGGGACUCUCAGCUGACCCAGGCCGCACCCACGCUUGAGGCCCGAGUCAGAUCCUCCUCACCUGGGCGCUGUGCUGAGGCGAAGGUCUCCCAGUGCCUGCUGUCCUGAGGCCCGCAGACGCUUCCCCAGGACGGGAGCCGGAGGAGCCUCUCCACGGCCCGGAAGACAAGAAAGAGGGACCCCAGGCCAGCAGAGUUGGGGUGCGGGGCAGCAACGGCUGGGGCAGGUGAAGCGCAGGUGGCCCUAGACCCGAGCCCUGCCCCUCCGCCCCGGGACACGGCUGGCUUUUCUCGGCGCUGCCUCCACGGGCCCUGCAUCCCAGCCCGGCCAGGGGACGCCCCCUUUGCGCCUGCUGCAAAGUGGAAAUUCCUUUCCCAACAAUUCCAGUCACACAGCGUUAGGGGCCACGAGGUCAGACCACCUGGGAGUUCGGGCUGCUGGGGCCCACAGGGCAGCCUCCUGGGACAGGGUCCAGACCAUGCCCGCCUUCUGGAACAGGCGUUGACAAUUGUGCUGGGAUUCCCACUGGGGGUGAGGAUCUGGCGUCACAGGCCCAGCAAAGGCGUCUUUUUUCUAGCUCAGGACCCCAAAGGGAGGGGUGGGAGCCCUGGGUAGCAGCAUCGCUGCCUCCCAGCCUCAUAGCCCAGCCUGGUGGGGCCCAGCAAACAAGUCUCCGGGUGUGGCUGGUGCGGAGCUCCAGGCCUCAGGCCCUGUUUUCCCACGCUGACCCCAGGCCUUUCUUCUACCCUGAAAGCCCAGAGGAGAGAGAGGCACGCACAGUGCACAUCAUGCCUGAAAAGGGAAGAACAAAGGCAGCCCAGAGGCAGGGGCUGUGCCCCCCACUGCCCUGCCGGUGCCCCUGGCACCCCCAUGCCCUGCCAGGCCCAGCGGGGCUUCCUGGUGUUCUGGACUGUCUUUCAUGGACAAAAAGCCCAGGCCAGGGAGCAGGAGCCCUGCCAGGCCCGAGAGGAUGGGGAGGGAGAGGGAGGCCUGGACUCUGCCCUGGGGACACAGGCUCAUGGCUGAGUGCCCAGCUUUGCCUGCGGAGUGAGAGAGGCAGGGAGCCCAGAGGGGCCAGGACAGAGGAAGAGGUUGAGUUCUCUCAGAGUGAGGGUGGGGGAACACCCUUUCCUGGCAUGGACUCGGAGCCUCUGGAAGGCGGACCUGGGGUAGCGUCAGAUAGAAGCUGGCAGGAGCAAAAGGGGUGGAGGGGGCUCUGGGUGGGGCAGCCCCCAGCCUCUGGGACCCUCUCAGGGGUGGGGGCUCCAGAUGUCCUGCACAUGGCCUGGCCCAGGAUGCGCUGGAAAAAUGUGGACGCAGAGAGGUUUGGGGGGAACCUCCAGGAGGGUCCUCAGAGCCUCCCUCCCACACAGGACUCAGACCUCCCAGGGCCUUCACCGAGGCCUGCUGAGAUCUUGGCUGCCUUGCUUGCCUCAGUCUCCCCAUCAGAAGCUUGUGCUGUGUGGCUUGUGCCUGUAAUCCUGGAUGGAAGCAGCACAGAUGUUUCCUUUGGGAGGCUGAAGCAAGGUCGGGAGUUCCAGACCAGCCUGGCAAACAUGGUGAAACCCCAUCUCUACAUAAAUACAAAAAUUAGCCAGGAGUGGUGACGAGCACCUGUAAUCCCAGCUACUCAGGAGGUGAGGCAGGAGAAUCCCUUGAACCCAGGAGAUGGAGGUUGCAGCAAGCCAGGAGGUCACUGCACUCCAGCCUGGGCGACAGAACGGGACUCCGUCUCAAAAGAAGCUUGCGCUGUGGCUGAAACACCUUAAUUGUGAAAGGCCUUUUACUCAUUGCUUCCUUUUUCACGUACUCAUUAAGUCAUUCAACAAACGCUUGCUGAGUACCGCCUGAGGGCCAAAAGCCAUAUCAGCCUCCACUGGCGUGGGGAGAGCAGACUUUGCAGAGGCCCCCGAGAGGCAGGGAAGCUCUUGCUGUCCCGUUGGAGGUGGGAGACACACAAAAUGGGCGGCAGGACCCUAUCAGUGGUAUCUGAGGUGCUGGAUGUGCUUUGCUUCUUUCAUCACAUUCCGAGUUUGGGAUUCACCCUGUAGACACUGAAAGGUGUGGCUUGUUUGUUUCGUGCUCUGUUCCAUCCUGUGAGUGAGAACAUGAGGAUGGCGUGUUGCUGCAGCUACUGAACGCAGUGUCUGCUUUCGGCUGUGCUGAGAUUGCUGCUCUGCACAUGUGCACUCUUUUUUUUAAAUGGAGUCUCUCUCGCCCAGGCUGGAGUUCAGUGGCACGAUCCCGGCUCACUGCAACCUCUGUCUCCUGGGUUCAAGUGAUUCUCCUGCCUCAGCCUUCCAAGUAGCUCAGAUUACAGGCAGAGAGGUUCAGGGAGAACCCCCGGGAGGGUCCUCAGAGCCUCAGCACAGCCCACAACCACACCUGACUAAUUUUGUAUUUUUAGUAGAGACAAGGUUUCACCAUGUUAGCCAGGCUGGUGUCAAACUCCUGACCUCAGGUGAUGCCUCAGCCUCCCAAAGUGCUGGGAUUUCAGGCGUGAGCCACGGCGCCCGGCCACACAUGUGCAGUCUUGUGAGCACUUCUCUGUCCCAGAACAGAGUUGCUGGUUGUAAUUCGAGUGUGUGUUCAGCUUCUCCAGCGAGUGCCAAGUUAUUUUCUGAAUGAUGGCUCCAGCUGCGCCGUGAGCGUGACGAUUUUGGCUGCUCCACAUCUUCAUCAGCAUCUGGUGUUGUGCAACGUUGGGAUUUCGGGGAAGCUGCUGAGGGCGAAACAGUGUCUCAUUGAGACUUUAAUAUGCGUUUCCCCUGUUCCCAAAGAGAGGGGGCGUCUCAUGGUGUCUCUGGCGAAGCCACGCUCCACGGCUCCUGUCCACUGGCUGGGGUUGCUUGCCUUGCUCCUGCUGACUUGCAGACGCCCUUGUGUCUUGAACCCGGUCCUGCGGCCGUUAAAUUGUGAAAGUUCUCCUUGCUCCUCUGGGGUUACGUCUGAGUAAUCUGCUAUGAGAUCAUCAAGAUACUCUCCCCUCAUGCUUCCUGAAGGCUUUCUGGUUUUGCUGAUCACAGCUUCGAUCCUCCUGGAGGUGGUGUUUAUGUGCAGGAUGUGAGGAAAGGCUCCGGCUCACCUUUUCCCAUGUGCAGAACCAGCUGUCCCAGCGCCACUUGUCACAUGGCCCCCUGUGCGGUGUCUACGCAGCCUCCCACCCCACCCGGGCCAGCUGCAGCACAGGGCUCUGUUUGGGGUCUCUCUUCAUUAGCUGAGCACCCUCCACCGCUCAGACCUCCUCUCCAGAGCCUUCCAGCAUGGCUUGACCUCCGGGAAGAGGGACGACGCCUUCAGUCCAUUCCUCCACGGGGCUGUUCUGUGUCCUUUGCUUGACCAUGGAAAUUUUAUUUAAUUUUUAUUUAUCUUUUGAGAUGGAUUCUCACUCUAUUGCCAAGGCUGGAGUGCAGUGGUGGGAUCUCGGCUCACUGCAACCUCUGCCUUCCAGAUUCAAGCAAUUCUCCUGCCUCAGCUUCCCAAGUAGCUGGGACUACAGGUGCACGCCACCACACCUGGUUAAUUUUUGUAUUUUUAGUAGAGAUGAUUUUGCCAUAUUAGUCAGGCUGUUCUUGAAAUCCUGACCUCACGUUAUCUACUCACCUGCCUCAGCCUCCCAAAGUGCCAGGAUUACAGGCAUGAGCCACGGUGCCAAGCCCCAUGGAAAUUUUAGAACCAGGUUCUCCCAUCUCCUUUAUUUUACUUUCUUUCUUUCUUUAUUUUGAGACAGACUCUUACUCUGUUGCCCAGGCUGGAGUGCAGUGGCGCAAUCUUGGCUCACUGCACCUCUGCCUCCUGGGUUCAAGUGAUUCUCCUGUCUCAGCCUCUUGAGUAGCUGGGACUACAGGCGUGAGCCACCACACUCAGCUAAUUUUUGUAUUUUUAGUAGAGACAGAGUUUCGGCAUGUUGGCCAGGCUGAUCUUGAACUCCUGACCUCAACGGAUCCACCUGCCUUGGCCUCCUGAAGUGCUGGGAUGAUAGGUGUGCCACCAAAACCAGCCUCCUGUCUCCUUUUAUUAGAGAUGGGGGCCUCACUAUGUUGCCCAGGCUGGUCUUGAAUUCCUAGCUUCAAGCAAUCCUCCAGCCUCAGCCUCCUGAGUAGCUGGGAACUGAUCCUUAUGGUUUAUUUGAAUAAACACUGAAAUUGAUCCUUCUAGUCUUAAGAUUUGAGAAAGUGACAUUUGUCCUAAUUGAGUUCCUUUCUCAGGAAACCAACCAUCAGUGCUCGAAGAUAGAACGGAAGAGCUAAAACUCACUCAUCACAGUAUCUGGACAAUGAGAAGCCAGGCCCCCCAUCCCUCCCACCCCCAUCAAGAUUGCCUGACCAACCACCAGCUUCCUGUUGACCAGCUCCUUCCCCAGCUGCCCUGAUUCCUGUUUUCUCACACCUGGUUACAUUGCUUCCCUGCUCUGUAAACCCCUCAUUUUAGUCAGUCAGGGAGAUGCAUUUGAGACUGAGUGUGCAUCUCCUCAUUUAAAAUGUUCUUUUAGAAUCAGCUUAACUUCUGCAGCACGUGUGGCCAUUUCCCUCUUUUUUAUUCCUGAUACCAAUUAUUUGUGCCUUAUCUCAUUUUCUUGAUUAAUUCUAACCAGAUGUUUUGUGUACUUUUUCUCAACCAAGUUUCUGUAAUGUUUGUUUCCUAUUUUACUAAAUUUACCUUUUUUUUUUAAAGAUGAGAUUUCACCAUGUUGGUCAGGCUGGUCUCCAACUCCUGACCUCAGGUGAUCCGCCCGCCUUGGCCUCCCAAAGUGCUGGGGUUACAGGUGUGCACCACCGUGCCCAGUUUUUUGUUUUGUUUUGAGAGAGACUCUUGCUCUGUCAUCCAGGCUGGACUACAGUGGCGUGAUCUCGGCUCACUGCAACCUCCACCUCCCAGGUUAAAGUAAUUCUCCUGCCUCAGCCUCCCAAGUAGCUGAGACUACAGGUGUGUGCCACCACGCCUGGCUUAGAGACAGGGUUUCACCUUGUUAGCCAGGAUGGUCUCAUCUCCUGACCUCAUUAUCCACCCACCUCGGCCUCCCAAAGUGCUGGGAUUAUGGGCGGCUCCCUCUUACCUUCAUCCAUAGCCCUCUGCCCCUCAUUCCCAUUUCCCAUCUCCUCUCUCUCUGCGCUAUGUUCUGGAUGAUAUUUCCUAAACUCUCUCUCUUUCUUCUUUCUUUCUUUCUUUCUUUCUUUCUUUCUCUUUCUUUCUUUCUUUCUUCUUUCUUUCUUUUUCUUUCUUUCUUUCUUUUUAAUAAAGAUGGGGUUUCAUCAUGAUGGCCAGGCUGGUCUUGAACUCCUGACCUGAGGUGAUCCACCCACCUCGGCUCCCAAAGUGCUAGGAUUACAGGCGUGAGCCACCGCGCCCAGCCUCCUAAACUCUUUCAAUUCUCUCUCUUUUUUUUUAAAAGAGAUGGGGUCUUGCUUUGUUACCCAGGCUGGCUGGAGUGCAGUGGCACAAUCAUAGCUCACUGCAGCCUCAACCUCCUGGGCUCACAUGAUGCCCCCCAGGGGCUGGGACCACAGAUUCACCAGUGUGGGGAGAAAGUCGCCCAGGUGCCAAGGCAAGAGACUGAAGGCACAGUCUAUCCCAGAAUCAUAAAUAACUGAUUGCUUACUUUUAGCAUUGAUGCCAAAUAUGUUUAGAAACAAUCAUAAUCAGUUACAUAAUCAAUCUUAUUAAACCAUUAUUAAUCUUUAGUAUUAUAGCAUAAAGACAUUCUAGUCUUAUGGUAUAGAAACAACCAGAUGAAAUAUAAUUAGGAACUGAAGGGACAUUGUGAGGAGUGAUCAGGAGACAAGAGUGAGAGCCUUGCAGUAGCGCCAGCACCUGGGGAGGUGCCCGUUACUUAGCAGGCAGGCCUUGGGGUAACGCCAGUGCCUGGGAAGGCACCCGUUACUUAGCAGUCACUUAGCAGGCCGUGAAGGGGAGUUUCCCUUUCACUGGGGGAGUUCAGAGAACACACUACUCUACUCCGCUCUUGAGGAAGGCCUGACACUAGACAGGCUGGCGCGGACAUCCAGGGGCUUAAACACCUCUCCGUGGUGCUAUGUUCUGAUGGUCACCAUCCUCAUCCACUUUCAGGUUUCGCUUUCCCACCUGGCUCUCCUUUUCAGUUCUUAGAAGUGGUAAGAAGUAAGAGCAGGAGAAUCCUAAAAGCCUUUAACCUAGCUGGGUGCGGUGGCUCACGCCUGUAAUCCCAGCACUUUGGGAGGCCGAGGCGGGGGGAUCAGGAGGUUAAAAGUUUGAGACCAUCCUGGUCAACAUGGUGAAACCCCGUCUCUACUAAAAAUACAAAAAAUUAGCUGGGCAUGGUGGUGCGUACCUGUAAUCCCAGCUACUCAGGAGGCUGAGGCAGGAGAGUUGUCUGAACCCAGGAGGCGGAGGUUGCGGUGAGCCGAGACUGCGCCAUUGCACUCCAGCCUGGGUAACAAGAGCGAAACUCCGUAUCAAAAAAAAAAAAAAAAAGCCUUUAACCUUUCUGAUAAGUGUGUAGAAAAAUGCUGACGUGUGUGCUGCUCUCUCAGGCAGCAGCUACCUGAGAGGGGCCCCUGUACUGUAAGCACGUGAUUUACAUGACCCUAUCAAUCACAUCAGAUGAGUCACUCUCCGGCCCUGCCCCCUGCCUUGUAUACAAUAAAUAUCCAGGCAUUGGGGCCACUGCUGGACUCAGCCUCUUGGUGGCAGUGGUCCCCCAGCCCAGCUGAA
Molecule: non-coding RNA, 6738 nt
Organism: Callithrix jacchus (white-tufted-ear marmoset)
Lineage: Eukaryota; Metazoa; Chordata; Mammalia; Primates; Cebidae
Source: RefSeq, a predicted model, not a curated record